RNAcentral lists this ribosomal RNA (468 nucleotides) under uncultured bacterium. RNAcentral's name for it is "partial 16S ribosomal RNA". It matches the Rfam family "Bacterial small subunit ribosomal RNA", at positions 28 to 507 of the family's 1533-position model. The record is from RNAcentral.
GAUGAACGCUGGCGGCGUGCUUAACACAUGCAAGUCGAACGGAAAGGCCAGUGCUUGCACUGGUACUCGAGUGGCGAACGGGUGAGUAACACGUGGGUGAUCUGCCCUGCACUUCGGGAUAAGCCUGGGAAACUGGGUCUAAUACCGGAUAGGACAAUGGUUUGGAUGCCGUUGUGGAAAGUUUUUUCGGUGUGGGAUAAGCUCGCGGCCUAUCAGCUUGUUGGUGGGGUAAUGGCCUACCAAGGCGUCGACGGGUAGCCGGCCUGAGAGGGUGUACGGCCACAUUGGGACGGAGAUACGGCCCAGACUCCUACGGGAGGCAGCAGUGGGGAAUAUUGCACAAUGGGCGCAAGCCUGAUGCAGCGACGCCGCGUGGGGGAUGACGGCCUUCGGGUUGUAUACUCCUUUCGCUAGGGACGAAGCGUAUUUGUGACGGUACCUGGAGAAGAAGCACCGGCUAACUACGUG